GGAUAUGAUGACAACCUUUUGACACCCAGUCUUACUUGCUCCAUUGGGGUACUAUGGUGAGAGUUUAAUUGUCUGAUCC
Molecule: non-coding RNA, 79 nt
Organism: Glycine max (soybean)
Lineage: Eukaryota; Viridiplantae; Streptophyta; Magnoliopsida; Fabales; Fabaceae
Source: Rfam